UGCUCCCUCUGGCGGCGUGCCUAAUACAUGCAAGUCGAGCGGACCGGAUUGGGGCUUGCCUUGAUUCGGUCAGCGGCGGACGGGUGAGUAACACGUGGGCAACCUGCCCGCAAGACCGGGAUAACUCCGGGAAACCGGAGCUAAUACCGGAUAACACCGAAGACCGCAUGGUCUUCGGUUGAAAGGCGGCCUUUGGGCUGUCACUUGCGGAUGGGCCCGCGGCGCAUUAGCUAGUUGGUGAGGUAACGGCUCACCAAGGCGACGAUGCGUAGCCGGCCUGAGAGGGUGACCGGCCACACUGGGACUGAGACACGGCCCAGACUCCUACGGGAGGCAGCAGUAGGGAAUCUUCCGCAAUGGGCGAAAGCCUGACGGAGCGACGCCGCGUGAGCGAAGAAGGCCUUCGGGUCGUAAAGCUCUGUUGUGAGGGACGAAGGAGCGUCGUUCGAAGAGGGCGGCGCGGUGACGGUACCUCACGAGAAAGCCCCGGCUAACUACGUG
RNAcentral lists this ribosomal RNA (501 nucleotides) under uncultured bacterium. RNAcentral describes it as "partial 16S ribosomal RNA". It matches the Rfam family "Bacterial small subunit ribosomal RNA", at positions 34 to 507 of the family's 1533-position model. The record is from RNAcentral.